UGGAACAAUGAUACCCCGAAGGCCUUGCCACCAGAYGUCUUUUUGAUAUGUGGUGACAGGGCCUGGCAGGGAAUUCCAAAAAACGUAAUGGGUGGUCCAUGUUAUCUUGGCAAAUUGACACUGCUGGCGCCAGAUAAAAAUUGGUGGAAAAAUAUAAUAGGGAACAAGGCUGCCACCCGUAGUAAACGGGCAGCCACAGGGCUUUCACCAGAUUGUAAUGAUAAGGUUACCCUACUCAGUCCUACUGAAAGAGUGUUUUUGUCUCUCUUCGUGCCUGGGGCAGCAGCAGGUAACGCCUUAAACCAAAUAGGACAAUUGGCUUGUUGGGCAGAGAAGCAAGCUAACGUCACCACUGAGGUAAUAGAGAGCCUGUUAGAGGACCAAAGUAGUCUGUGUCAUGCCGUUCUGCAAAAUAGGGCUGCAAUUGAUUUUUUGCUAUUAGCUCAAGGCCAUGGUUGUGAGGAUUUUGAAGGUAUGUGUUGCAUGAAUUUGUCUGAUCAUAGUGAAUCCAUUCACAAACAAUUACAGUGGUUGAAGGAGCACGCAAGUAAAAUCCGUCAGAACCAUGGGCCGUUAGACGAAUGGCUAACUAACCUGUUUGGAAAUCUACCACAGUGGCUAAUAGGGUUGCUUACUGAAGGCUUACGCAUAUUAAUAAUCCUUGUAGUCAUAGGUUUGUGUUCAUGUGUAGUAUUAAGCUGUGUUAAGAAAGCUCUGCUGAAAGUAGUGAACCAAGCCUGGAUUGCUCAAAAACAAGAAGGGGGAAUUGUGGAAGAAUGGUCAAGUGAAAAGGGGCAUGAUCUCUUAGAAGUGAGCAAUCCUGUCUUCACGAUGGAGGGAGGAUCCCACAUCUAUGCGAGCUGUCCUUGAACAGCACAAAAGAAGGAAGCUACAAGGAGGUAAACAAGUCGACAGACCUCUCCACGCGAACAACAAGCCUGCACCAAUCAUAUAUCCACUCUAGGCGCGUGAACAAAGAUUGUGAGCCAAUCAUAUAGCUAUCACUAUCACAUGCUCUUAUUGCCUGUSUAURU
Molecule: long non-coding RNA, 1034 nt
Organism: Apteryx rowi (Okarito brown kiwi)
Lineage: Eukaryota; Metazoa; Chordata; Aves; Apterygiformes; Apterygidae
Source: Ensembl